AGUAACACGUAGACAACCUGCCCCCUGGCCCGGGACAACCUCUGGAAACGGAGGCUGAUACCGGACGGGCAGGAGAGGGGCAUCCCUCUCCUGUGAAAGGCCCUGCAAGGGGCCGCGAGGGGAUGGGUCUGCGGUGCAUUAGCUAGUUGGCGGGGCAGCGGCCCACCAAGGCGACGAUGCAUAGCCGGCCUGAGAGGGCGGACGGCCACAUUGGGACUGAGACACGGCCCAGACUCCUACGGGAGGCAGCAUG
RNAcentral lists this ribosomal RNA (253 nucleotides) under uncultured bacterium. Its description in RNAcentral is "partial 16S ribosomal RNA". It matches the Rfam family "Bacterial small subunit ribosomal RNA", at positions 109 to 353 of the family's 1533-position model. The record is from RNAcentral.